Gorilla gorilla gorilla (western lowland gorilla) is the source of this 304-nucleotide unclassified non-coding RNA. It matches the Rfam family "Metazoan signal recognition particle RNA". From Rfam's summary of the family: The signal recognition particle (SRP) is a universally conserved ribonucleoprotein. It is involved in the co-translational targeting of proteins to membranes. The record is from Ensembl. NCBI's taxonomy places the organism in Eukaryota, Metazoa, Chordata, Mammalia, Primates, Hominidae.
GCCAGGUGAGGUGGAGGUGGCAGUGCCUGUAGUCCCAGCUCCUCAGGAGGCUGAGCUGGGAGGGUCUCUUGAGUCCAGGAGUUCUGGGCUGUAGUGCACUAUGCUGAUUGGGUGAAUGCACUAAGUUGGGCAUCGAUAUGGGGACCUUCUGGGGGAGCGGGACCACUGGGUUGCCUAAGGAGGGGUGAACUGGCCGGGGCUGGAAACAGAACAGGUCAAAACACCCCUGCUGAUCAGUAUUGGGAUCACACCUGUGAAUAGCUAAAGCAUGCCAGCCUGGGCAACACAGUGAGACCCCCUCUAU